Molecule: ribosomal RNA, 654 nt
Filed under: uncultured bacterium
Lineage: Bacteria
Description: bacterial SSU rRNA
Rfam family: Bacterial small subunit ribosomal RNA
Source: RNAcentral
UNCACGCCGUAAACGAUGAGUGCUAGGUGUUAGGCCCUUUCCGGGGCUUAGUGCCGGAGCUAACGCAAUAAGCACUCCGCCUGGGGAGUACGACCGCAAGGUUGAAACUCAAAGGAAUUGACGGGGGCCCGCACAAGCGGUGGAGCAUGUGGUUUAAUUCGAAGCAACGCGAAGAACCUUACCAGGUCUUGACAUCCCGAUGCUAUUCUUAGAGAUAGGAAGUUACUUCGGUACAUCGGAGACAGGUGGUGCAUGGUUGUCGUCAGCUCGUGUCGUGAGAUGUUGGGUUAAGUCCCGCAACGAGCGCAACCCUUAUUGUUAGUUGCCAUCAUUAAGUUGGGCACUCUAGCGAGACUGCCGGUAAUAAACCGGAGGAAGGUGGGGAUGACGUCAAAUCAUCAUGCCCCUUAUGACCUGGGCUACACACGUGCUACAAUGGUCGGUACAACGAGUUGCGAGCCGGUGACGGCAAGCUAAUCUCUGAAAGCCGAUCUCAGUUCGGAUUGGAGGCUGCAACUCGCCUCCAUGAAGUCGGAAUCGCUAGUAAUCGCGGAUCAGCACGCCGCGGUGAAUACGUUCCCGGGCCUUGCACACACCGCCCGUCACACCACGAGAGUUUGUAACACCCGAAGUCGGUGAGGUANCCUUUUAGGG